Hordeum vulgare subsp. vulgare (domesticated barley) is the source of this 893-nucleotide long non-coding RNA. RefSeq lists it as uncharacterized. NCBI's taxonomy places the organism in Eukaryota, Viridiplantae, Streptophyta, Magnoliopsida, Poales, Poaceae. The record is from RefSeq and is a predicted model, not a curated record. The transcript has 2 exons.
UAGUAGAUAUGGCACUACCAUCGCUAUCAUCUCCACCGCACCACGCUGCCACCUCCCGCUUUCAAUACUUCCUCCAAUCCAUGGCGCCGCCGUCGCCGUCAAAGAGGCCAUCGUCCAAGGACAUCGCCGGGGAUGGAGCAGAGCCUUGCGGGGAUGCGCCCUCUGCUCUCUCCCCAAUCCUGCCGGUGCCCACUUCAGAAAUAAAAGCUGUUAGCAGAGGGCUUACGGAUCGCUGGCUGGGGGCCGUAGGAGAUGGUGAUUUUUGUGUCAGACUCCGAUCAGUAUCUGCCUGGAUGGAUUAUCACCAGUUUCUGCUGGCUGAACUAAUUAAUGAUCGUCGUUGCACUGGUGCUUUGGAGUAUCAGGACAGUCAAUUGCCGCAAAUCUAGCAUGAUUUUGCCUGUAGCUAGCCAUUUACAAUGCAGCAUAAAGUCAUGAGGGGUUCGAUAAAGGAUUCUGGAAGCACUCAAGAACCUGCUGCAUCAAAUUAUCAUCCUGGGGUUCAGUAAUGGCGAAGUUGCCAUCAACAAGCUUGUGGCAGAACUUUCUUACCGGGCUAGUAAUGUUUUAUCAAGUAUUUCCAAGUUUCAUUAUUUGGAUGUGGGCCUCAAUUGUGCUCGAGCAUAUACUACUGACCAUGCAACGAUCAAGGGGAUAGCCAGCUAUGUCUUGCAGACUACUGAUGAUCUCUGUUUUAUCCAUCAACAUGUACUAUGAAAGUAUGAAUGCUACUCUCAAUUUUAAUUAUUAUCUGAGACAAUCUAAAUUAUAGAAAAAUGUUGAAUCUCGAGAGAUUCAGAGUAUUCCUAUAUAGUCUAUUUUGUGGAUUGCAAAGUAUGAAUGCUAUUUUGUACUCCCUCCGUUCUUAAAUAUAAGUCUUUUUAAAGGUUUCA